GGCAGCCUGCAUAGGCGGUCACACUGUCCUACACUGGAAGUUUGUCUCUCUGAAUUAUCCAGGCCGGCUCUCAGUGCAACAUGAACUCACUGAUUCUUUGCCAACCUUUCAGUUCCCUUGAAGUGGCAGGUGCAUAAAAGCCUACCUCCUAUUGCAAACCUCUGAAUUCCGGCAGCACCCCCUUCUUGGCUGUGCUUCUCAAUCUGGAGGUUUAGCAACCAAAUAUCAGAGGCUGGCAGAUAGUUCAUGGCUGCAUUCACCUGUGCUCACCCAGCCUGAGGGGUGUGUGUCCUUAUGAAGUUGAGCCUCUCAGAGUUAGCAUUUCAGUGGUGAAUACAGAAGACAAAACCAGUGUAGAACAAGUAACAUAGAAAGAGAAGAAGAGACAGUACUAGAUACAGAACAGACAACAGGAGGAGAAAACUCAGACUUUGGCAAAAGCCACAUUACCCAAUGUGUUGGUCUUGGAGAGAGAAGAUGGACUCUGAAGAACAUUCCAGUAAUGCCGUGGCAGCAUGGAGAGCCUCUGAGUGGUUGUGUCUGCAGUACUGUUGUGGAAGAUUGACCUUUGCUGUUGUAUGUAAAGUAUAAAUCGCUUCUGUUGUGACUUUGAGCCAGUGACUUCUUAUUUAUCUGAACUUUUCACGGAAGUGGCAGUGAACAGUGUGAGUCUUCAUUCUGGUGACUGUAACCAAUAUCGUCUUGCUAAAUUAAUGGUUUGUACAAUUACUAGGUUGUAUAAAUUUGUUAUACUUUUUGCUCAGUUCUAGUAAAUUAUGAAAAGGAAGUGUAAUGCUAAAAAACAAACAAACAAACAAACAAACAAAACCCAAAAAACCAUACAGGGAUGAAAUAUACAACACAAGGAAUAUAGUCAAUAAUAUUGUAUUGACACUGUUUGAUGACAGAUGGUGACUAUGCUGGUUGUGAUGAGCACUGAGUAAUGUAUGCAAGUGUUGAAUUAGGUUGUAGACCUGAGACUAAUAAAAUACUGUGUUAAUUAUGCCUCA
This 1010-nucleotide long non-coding RNA is filed under the name Vulpes vulpes (red fox). Its description in RNAcentral is "lncRNA (ENSVVUG00000006740.1)". Lineage: Eukaryota; Metazoa; Chordata; Mammalia; Carnivora; Canidae. The record is from RNAcentral.